This 90-nucleotide transfer RNA is filed under the name Acidobacteriota bacterium. Its description in RNAcentral is "Acidobacteria bacterium (sponge metagenome) tRNA-Ser". It matches the Rfam family "tRNA". From Rfam's summary of the family: Transfer RNA (tRNA) molecules are approximately 80 nucleotides in length. Their secondary structure includes four short double-helical elements and three loops (D, anti-codon, and T loops). RNAcentral also lists the same sequence under 1 other name. The record is from RNAcentral. Lineage: Bacteria; Pseudomonadati; Acidobacteriota.
GGAGGGAUGGCCGAGCGGUCGAAGGCGGCGGUCUUGAAAACCGUUAGCGGGGAAACUCGCUCCUGGGUUCGAAUCCCAGUCCCUCCGCCA